UACGGGGGGGGCAAGCGUUGUUCGGAAUUACUGGGCGUAAAGGGUUCGUAGGUGGCUUGCUAAGUCAGACGUGAAAUCCCUCAGCUUAACUGGGGAACUGCGUCUGAGACUGGUGAGCUUGAGUGCAGGAGAGGAACGCGGAAUUCCAGGUGUAGCGGUGAAAUGCGUAGAUAUCUGGAGGAACACCGGUGGCGAAGGCGGCGUUCUGGACUGCUACUGACACUGAUGAACGAAAGCCAGGGGAGCAAACGGG
This 253-nucleotide ribosomal RNA is filed under the name uncultured bacterium. Its description in RNAcentral is "partial 16S ribosomal RNA". It matches the Rfam family "Bacterial small subunit ribosomal RNA", at positions 524 to 776 of the family's 1533-position model. The record is from RNAcentral.